UGAUGGAUCAUUCAUGUGAGUUGUUGUCAACAGUUGCCUUGGGUUUUAAUCACUGGAACAAAUCGUGGUGUCUUGCGCUUCACGUAGUACGUCUUAUUUUUUCCGGAAUACGCUUUUGGCGGUGGAUGUCUUGGGUCUUGUCUCGAUGAAGAACGCAGCUAGCUGCGACAAGUAAUGUGACUUGCAACUUUCCGUAAAUUAUUGAAUUUUUGAACGCAAAAGACAUUCUCGAACAAUGUUCUAGAGUAUGUUCACUUCAGUGUUUUAGCCUACGUGCUUUUGUCGUGCUUAUUUGGCACGUAUGGUUAGAGGCUGCAUGUUGCGGCUUCUCAAGCUUUUUGGUGUUUAAUAUGGUAUAACCGAACCAAGUCUGGUAGCAAUUAAAGCCUGAAGUUGGGCAAGUUUACCCACUGAAUUUAAGCAUAUUAUUAAGCGGAGGAAGCAAAACUAACAAGGAUUCCUUUAGUAACGGCGAGUGAACCAGGAUGCGCUGAAACUGGAAAUCGGCAUCAACUGCCGAAUUGUAGUCUAGCGAAUUGGGUGUCGCGACUUUUUCGGGAUAAUUCUUUUGGAAGAGAGUUUCGAGGAGGGUGAGAGUCCCGUUGUUGCCCGAGGAAGCUGCGUUUGGUCCAAUUUGUGCGAGUCACGCUCUUUGAGAUUGAAGCGUUAAUCAGGUGAUAAAUUUCAUCUAAAGCUAAAUAUUGACAAGAUCCCGAUAGUGAAAAAGUACCGUGAGGGAAAGAUGAAAAGAACUUUGAAAAGAGAGUUAAAAGGAACUGAAACCGCCGAAUAUGGAAGUAGAAAGCUGCUGUUAGGCGUUUUGUCCUGUUGAAGCAAUCCCCUGUUUUUUUCAGCUAAAACGUUUCUACUUGUAGCGUUGACAUCGCGUUAGCUGUGUGGUCCCAUCCGAUUGGUUUGCACGACACAGUUUGCUUGGCGAUGUCGACGUUUCUCUUGGGCUUGUGCUUGUACAAGUUGCAAUCGGUUAGCCGUUUGUUAAGCGACACGUGGUUUUCUGUCCCGUCUUGAAACAAGGAGUCCAGCUUGUGUGCGAGUGCAACGGUGAAAAGCCACUGCGCAGAAGGAAAGUGAUUGUUAGGCGGGACACCCUUCACUAGCAUCCGGUUUCAUCGACUGAGUUAGAGCACGCACGCUGGGACCCGAAAGAUGGUGAACUAUGCCGGAGUAGAGUGAAGCCAGAGGAAACUCUGGUGGAGGCUUGCAGCGGUACUGACGUGCAAAUCGUUCGUCAGACUUUGGUAUAGGGGCGAAAGACUAAUCGAACUAUCUAGUAGCUGGUUUCCUC
This 1306-nucleotide unclassified non-coding RNA is filed under the name uncultured fungus. Its description in RNAcentral is "sequence contains 18S rRNA gene, ITS1, 5.8S rRNA gene, ITS2, 28S rRNA gene". The stretch from base 384 to 1306 matches the Rfam family "Eukaryotic large subunit ribosomal RNA", at positions 1 to 961 of the family's 3401-position model. The record is from RNAcentral. Lineage: Eukaryota; Fungi.